RNAcentral lists this ribosomal RNA (506 nucleotides) under uncultured bacterium. RNAcentral's name for it is "partial 16S ribosomal RNA". It matches the Rfam family "Bacterial small subunit ribosomal RNA", at positions 29 to 523 of the family's 1533-position model. The record is from RNAcentral.
AGUGAACGCUGGCGGUAGGCCUAACAUAUGCAAGUCGAACGGCAGCACAGGAGAGCUUGCUCUCUGGGUGGCGAGUGGCGGACGGGUGAGGAAUACAUCGAGAUCUACUCUGUCGUGGGGGAUAACGUAGGGAAACUUACGCUAAUACCGCAUACGACCUACGGGUGAAAGCAGGGGACCUUCGGCCCUUGCGCGAUUGAAUGAGCCGAUGUCGGAUUAGCUAGUUGGCGGGGUAAAGGCCCACCAAGGCGACGAUCCGUAGCUGGUCUGAGAGGAUGAUCAGCCACACUGGAACUGAGACACGGUCCAGACUCCUACGGGAGGCAGCAGUGGGGAAUAUUGGACAAUGGGCGCAAGCCUGAUCCAGCCAUACCGCGUGGGUGAAGAAGGCCUUCGGGUUGUAAAGCCCUUUUGUUGGGAAAGAAAUCCAGCUGGCUAAUACCCGGUUGGGAUGACGGUACCCAAAGAAUAAGCACCGGCUAACUUCGUGCCAGCAGCCGCCGUAA